GACGAACGCUGGCGGCGUGCUUAACACAUGCAAGUCGAACGGAAAGGCCCUGCAUUUGUGGGGUGCUCGAGUGGCGAACGGGUGAGUAACACGUGAGUACCCUGCCCUUUACUUUGGGAUAACUUCAGGAAACUGGGGCUAAUACCGGAUAGGAGCUCCUGCUGCAUGGUGGGGGUUGGAAAGUUUCGGCGGAUGGGGAUGGACUCGCGGCUUAUCAGCUUGUUGGUGGGGUAGUGGCUUACCAAGGCUUUGACCGGUAGCCGGCCUGGGAGGGUGACCGGCCACAGUGGGACUGAGAUACGGCCCAGACUCCUACGGGAGGCAGCAGUGGGGAAUAUUGCACAAUGGGCGGAAGCCUGAUGCAGCAACGCCGCGUGCGGGAUGACGGCCUUCGGGUUGUAAACCGCUUUCGCCUGUGACGAAGCGUGAGUGACGGUAAUGGGUAAAGAAGCACCGGCUAACUACGUG
This 468-nucleotide ribosomal RNA is filed under the name uncultured bacterium. RNAcentral's name for it is "partial 16S ribosomal RNA". It matches the Rfam family "Bacterial small subunit ribosomal RNA", at positions 28 to 507 of the family's 1533-position model. The record is from RNAcentral.